Molecule: ribosomal RNA, 515 nt
Filed under: uncultured bacterium
Lineage: Bacteria
Description: partial 16S ribosomal RNA
Rfam family: Bacterial small subunit ribosomal RNA
Source: RNAcentral
GAUGAACGCUGGCGGCGUGCCUAAUACAUGCAAGUCGAGCGAAUGGAUUAAGAGCUUGCUCUUAUGAAGUUAGCGGCGGACGGGUGAGUAACACGUGGGUAACCUGCCCAUAAGACUGGGAUAACUCCGGGAAACCGGGGCUAAUACCGGAUAACAUUUUGAACCGCAUGGUUCGAAAUUGAAAGGCGGCUUCGGCUGUCACUUAUGGAUGGACCCGCGUCGCAUUAGCUAGUUGGUGAGGUAACGGCUCACCAAGGCAACGAUGCGUAGCCGACCUGAGAGGGUGAUCGGCCACACUGGGACUGAGACACGGCCCAGACUCCGACGGGAGGCAGCAGUAGGGAAUCUUCCGCAAUGGACGAAAGUCUGACGGAGCAACGCCGCGUGAGUGAUGAAGGCUUUCGGGUCGUAAAACGCUGUUGUUAGGGAAGAACAAGUGCUAGUUGAAUAAGCUGACACCUUGACGGUACCUAACCAGAAAGCCACGGCUAACUACGUGCCAGCCGCCGCAGUAA